This 133-nucleotide small nuclear RNA is filed under the name Jaculus jaculus (lesser Egyptian jerboa). RNAcentral describes it as "U4 spliceosomal RNA (ENSJJAG00000004250.1)". It matches the Rfam family "U4 spliceosomal RNA". Rfam says of the family: U4 small nuclear RNA (U4 snRNA) is a component of the major U2-dependent spliceosome. The structure of U4 snRNA from yeast and human has been reported. Lineage: Eukaryota; Metazoa; Chordata; Mammalia; Rodentia; Dipodidae. The record is from Rfam by way of RNAcentral.
AGCUUUGCGCAGUGGCAGUAUCGUAGCCAAUGAGGUUUAUCCGAGGCGCGAUUAUUGCUAAUUGAAAACUUUUCCUAAAAUAAGCAGAACCUGCUGGGCGUGGUGGUGCACGCCUUUAAUCCCAGCACUCAGG